UACGUAGGUGGCAAGCGUUAUCCGGAUUUAUUGGGCGUAAAGGGAACGCAGGCGGUCUUUUAAGUCUGAUGUGAAAGCCUUCGGCUUAACCGGAGUAGUGCAUUGGAAACUGGGAGACUUGAGUGCAGAAGAGGAGAGUGGAACUCCAUGUGUAGCGGUGAAAUGCGUAGAGAUAUGGAGGAACACCAGUGGCGAAGGCGGCUUCCUGGUCUGCAACUGACACUGAGGCGCGAAAGCGUGGGGAGCAAACAGG
Molecule: ribosomal RNA, 253 nt
Filed under: uncultured bacterium
Lineage: Bacteria
Also listed under: 1 other name
Description: partial 16S ribosomal RNA
Rfam family: Bacterial small subunit ribosomal RNA
Source: RNAcentral